Molecule: non-coding RNA, 23 nt
Filed under: Mus musculus (house mouse)
Lineage: Eukaryota; Metazoa; Chordata; Mammalia; Rodentia; Muridae
Source: RNAcentral
UGCCACUCCAUUUGUUCCCAAGC